UGGGUGGUGCGCCAGCGGCCGACGCUGGCCGCCGCCGUCGGCCACUGGCGCUACUGCCAGAUCUUCGCGGUGUUCUUGCUCGCGGCCGUCUUC
Molecule: transfer RNA, 93 nt
Filed under: compost metagenome
Description: tRNA-Gly
Source: RNAcentral